RNAcentral lists this ribosomal RNA (413 nucleotides) under uncultured bacterium. RNAcentral's name for it is "bacterial SSU rRNA". It matches the Rfam family "Bacterial small subunit ribosomal RNA", at positions 355 to 794 of the family's 1533-position model. The record is from RNAcentral.
UGGGGAAUAUUGCACAAUGGGCGCAAGCCUGAUGCAGCAACGCCGCGUGAGGGACGACGGCCUUCGGGUUGUAAACCUCUUUUAGCAGGGAAGCGGUACCUGCAGAAAAAGCACCGGCUAACUACGUGCCAGCAGCCGCGGUAAUACGUAGGGUGCAAGCGUUGUCCGGAAUUAUUGGGCGUAAAGAGCUCGUAGGCGGUUUGUCGCGUCUGCUGUGAAACCCGAGGCUCAACCUCGGGCCUGCAGUGGGUACGGGCAGACUAGAGUGCGGUAGGGGAGAUUGGAAUUCCUGGUGUAGCGGUGGAAUGCGCAGAUAUCAGGAGGAACACCGAUGGCGAAGGCAGAUCUCUGGGCCGAACUGACGCUGAGGAGCGAAAGCAUGGGGAGCGAACAGGAUUAGAUACCCGUGUAGU